This 495-nucleotide ribosomal RNA is filed under the name uncultured bacterium. RNAcentral's name for it is "partial 16S ribosomal RNA". It matches the Rfam family "Bacterial small subunit ribosomal RNA", at positions 28 to 507 of the family's 1533-position model. The record is from RNAcentral.
GACGAACGCUGGCGGCGUGCCUAAUACAUGCAAGUAGAACGCUGAAGGAGGAGCUUGCUUCUCCGGAUGAGUUGCGAACGGGUGAGUAACGCGUAGGUAACCUGCCUGGUAGCGGGGGAUAACUAUUGGAAACGAUAGCUAAUACCGCAUAAGAGUAGAUGUCGCAUGACAUUUGCUUAAAAGGUGCAACUGCACCACUACCAGAUGGACCUGCGUUGUAUUAGCUAGUUGGUGAGGUAACGGCUCACCAAGGCAACGAUACAUAGCCGACCUGAGAGGGGGGUCGGCCACACUGGGACUGAGACACGGCCCAGAAUCCUACGGGAGGCAGCAGUAGGGAAUCUUCGGCAAUGGACGGAAGUCUGACCGAGCAACGCCGCGGGAGUGAAGAAGGUUUUCGGAUCGUAAAGCUCUGUUGUAAGAGAAGAACGAGUGUGAGAGUGGAAAGUUCACACUGUGACGGUAUCUUACCAGAAAGGGACGGCUAACUACGUG